This 18-nucleotide ribosomal RNA is filed under the name Carinigera octava. Its description in RNAcentral is "partial 5.8S ribosomal RNA". The record is from RNAcentral. RNAcentral also lists the same sequence under 1 other name. Lineage: Eukaryota; Metazoa; Mollusca; Gastropoda; Stylommatophora; Clausiliidae.
GCCCGUCUGAGGGUCGGC